GGGAAUCUUCUUUUUGCAUAGUGUCAAAGUUGGGAGUUUGGAGGGAAGUAAACAAGGGCUAGAUACGCCAUACGGCCACGUCAUGCUAGCUAUCUUCAAGUAGUAUUUAUUCUCACUUUGCUGUUGAUCUCCAUGUCACUGUAAAAAACGAUUUCUAGGGGGUGGGUGAAAUUGCCACCCGCAUCUACAAAACGGGGUUGUUACUGUAGUAUACAACCCGCCGGAGAACCAUUUGUAAGGCCGGGUCACGGGACGACCCGCCCCUGAAAAUGGGGGCGAUUUUCAAGGGCGGACGAUGGGGUGACCCACCCCUAGAAAUCAUGAUUUGCAAGGGCGGGUAAUCCCAUCACCCGCCCCUGAAAAUAGCCCCCAUUUCCAGGGGCGGGUGGCGGCAUCACCCGAUCCCGAAAAUUAUUUCCACGGGUGGGUAAUGACGUGGCCCACCCCUAAAAAUAGGUACAAUCCUUGAUACAUGAAUGCGCCAUGGACAUCCUCAGUAGAACACUUGGCAGAGUGCUUUACUGCCUUCCUGAAUGUGACUAUGAAUGUGACUAUGGUAGAAAUAUAAACCGUAGCUUGUCAUAUAUAAACCAACAAAUAAGUCAUGUCACAACUCAAUAUAAUCACAACCAAAUGAUAGAUCCCACACAACAUAUAAGACAUGUCACAUUACAUAUGAAGUUCAUAGAUCACAACUCAACAUAACCAAAUAACAAAUUCCACACAACAGAAAUAGAACCAAGAUUCAUUGACAAAUAGCACUACUACACUAUAUCCAUUUCUUCACUUAGCAUGAGCUACUCCUGAGGCAAAAAUCCCAAGCAUGACACAUAUACAACCAAGGUUACAAUAGCAGUAAUGGCAGCCAUAUUGCAUCCACCCUAGCAGCUUUGUUUUUCUUGGCCACAACAGUCUUGUUUUUCUUCCCUAGAAGAUGCUUCAACUCUCCCACUUCCAACUUCAGUUCAUUAACAUGCCCUUUC
Molecule: long non-coding RNA, 983 nt
Filed under: Setaria viridis
Lineage: Eukaryota; Viridiplantae; Streptophyta; Magnoliopsida; Poales; Poaceae
Description: long non-coding RNA (SVIR_LNC005853)
Source: RNAcentral